This is a non-coding RNA of Cinara cedri, 514 nucleotides long. The record is from the annotation of a GenBank genome assembly. Lineage: Eukaryota; Metazoa; Arthropoda; Insecta; Hemiptera; Aphididae.
CUACUAUUAAAACGAUUUUGACACGAAAUUUGUAUUAUCACAAGGUUUGUGCAAGAUUAGUUCCCAAAAUGCUCAUCGAAAACCAAUAUGGAUGGGAUACAUAUGAUAUAUAUUAUUAAAUAAUGUGAAGACUAACAGCACUUUUCUUUGGACAAUUUUUUAUGUUCAGCUUGAGGUUUGAUAGUGAACAUCUCAAGUUCGAUUCAACAUCCAAGUGAUUACUGUGUUUGGUUUUUAUAACGGCCAAACUGGAGAACCUAGAUUCAAAAUAAUAAGUCUAUGCAAAUUGUAUAAGUACUUUUAGGCCCGGCGUCCACCAAAUUAACGUGACUCGUGAUAUGACAAGGGACGUGACGAGUGGUUUAGCAAGUGACGUGUCAUACUAGUUAUUUGUCAUUACACACAUACAAAAAUCAUUCAUGUUCGUACACUGAUCAAACCUGUCAGAUCACGUAUCAGUUUUGUGUAACUUCUAAAAUUUUGUUGGUGACAAAAGUACUGCAUGUUCUACUUU